AGUGAACGCUGGCGGUAGGCCUAACACAUGCAAGUCGAACGGCAGCACAGUAAGAGCUUGCUCUUACGGGUGGCGAGUGGCGGACGGGUGAGGAAUACAUCGGAAUCUACUUUUUCGUGGGGGAUAACGUAGGGAAACUUACGCUAAUACCGCAUACGACCUACUGGUGAAAGCAGGGGAUCUUCGGACCUUGCGCGAUUGAAUGAUCCGAUGUCGGAUUAGCUAGUUGGCGGGGUAAAGGCCCACCAAGGCGACGAUCCUUAGCUGGUCUGAGAGGAUGAGCAGCAAAGAGGGAAAGAGGACACGGACCAAAACCCGAAGGGAGGAACGAGUGGGAAAUAUUGGAAAAUGGGCGCAAGCCGAACCCAACCAAACCGCGAGGGUGAAAAAGGCCUUCGGUUUGUAAAGCCCUUUGGUGGGGAAAGAAAAACAGCAGUUUAAAACCCCGCUGUUUGGAGGGAACCAAAAAAAAAAACAACGGCAAACUUGGU
RNAcentral lists this ribosomal RNA (491 nucleotides) under uncultured bacterium. RNAcentral describes it as "partial 16S ribosomal RNA". It matches the Rfam family "Bacterial small subunit ribosomal RNA", at positions 29 to 506 of the family's 1533-position model. The record is from RNAcentral.